RNAcentral lists this ribosomal RNA (497 nucleotides) under uncultured bacterium. RNAcentral's name for it is "partial 16S ribosomal RNA". It matches the Rfam family "Bacterial small subunit ribosomal RNA", at positions 28 to 507 of the family's 1533-position model. The record is from RNAcentral.
GAUGAACGCUGGCGGCGUGCCUAAUACAUGCAAGUCGAGCGAACGGACGAGAAGCUUGCUUCUCUGAUGUUAGCGGCGGACGGGUGAGUAACACGUGGAUAACCUACCUAUAAGACUGGGAUAGCUUCGGGAAACCGGAGCUAAUACCGGAUAAUAUUUUGAACCGCAUGGUUCAAAAGUGAAAGACGGUCUUGCUGUCACUUAUAGAUGGAUCCGCGCUGCAUUAGCUAGUUGGUAAGGUAACGGCUUACCAAGGCAACGAUGCAUAGCCGACCUGAGAGGGUGAUCGGCCACACGGGAACUGAGACACGGUCCAGACUCCUACGGGAGGCAGCAGUAGGGAAUCUUACGCGAUGGGCGAAAGCCUGACGGAGCAACGCCGCGUGAGUGAUGAAGGUCUUCGGAUCGUAAAACGCUGUUAUUAGGGAAGAACAUAUGUGUAAGUAACUGUGCACAUCUUGACGGUACCUAAUCAGAAAGCCACGGCUAACUACGUG